This 484-nucleotide ribosomal RNA is filed under the name uncultured bacterium. RNAcentral describes it as "partial 16S ribosomal RNA". It matches the Rfam family "Bacterial small subunit ribosomal RNA", at positions 29 to 507 of the family's 1533-position model. The record is from RNAcentral.
AUUGAACGCUGGCGGAAUGCUUUACACAUGCAAGUCGAGCGGCAGCGCGGCCUUCGGGCUGGCGGCGAGCGGCGAACGGGUGAGUAAUGCAUCGGAACAUGCCCAGUCGUGGGGGAUAACACUUCGAAAGAAGUGCUAAUACCGCAUACGUCCUGAGGGGGAAAGCGGGGGAUCGCAAGACCCCGCGCGAUUGGAGUGGCCGAUGUCAGAUUAGCUAGUUGGUGGGGUAAAGGCCUACCAAGGCGACGAUCUGUAGCUGGUCUGAGAGGAUGAUCAGCCACACUGGGACUGAGACACGGCCCAGACUCCUACGGGAGGCAGCAGUGGGGAAUUUUGGACAAUGGGGGCAACCCUGAUCCAGCCAUGCCGCGUGAGUGAAGAAGGCCUUCGGGUUGUAAAGCUCUUUCGGCAGGAACGAAACGGUGGGCUCUAACAUAGUCCGCUAAUGACGGUACCUGAAGAAGAAGCACCGGCUAACUACGUG